This 253-nucleotide ribosomal RNA is filed under the name uncultured bacterium. RNAcentral's name for it is "partial 16S ribosomal RNA". It matches the Rfam family "Bacterial small subunit ribosomal RNA", at positions 524 to 776 of the family's 1533-position model. The record is from RNAcentral.
UACGGGGGGGGCAAGCGUUGUUCGGAAUUACUGGGCGUAAAGGGCUCGUAGGCGGCCAACUAAGUCGGAUGUGAAAUCCCCAGGCUUAACCUGGGAACUGCAUCCGAUACUGGAUGGCUUGAAUCCGGGAGAGGGAUGCAGAAUUCCAGGUGUAGCGGUGAAAUGCGUAGAUAUCGUAAGGAAGACCAGUGGCGAAGGCGGGUCUCUGGACAGUUCCUGACGCUGAGGCACGAAGGCCAGGGGAGCAAACGGG